Molecule: ribosomal RNA, 497 nt
Filed under: uncultured bacterium
Lineage: Bacteria
Description: partial 16S ribosomal RNA
Rfam family: Bacterial small subunit ribosomal RNA
Source: RNAcentral
GAUGAACGCUGGCGGCGUGCCUAAUACAUGCGAGUCGAGCGAACGGACGAGAAGCUUGCUUCUCUGAUGUUAGCGGCGGACGGGUGAGUAACACGUGGAUAACCUACCUAUAAGACUGGGAUAACUUCGGGAAACCGGAGCUAAUACCGGAUAAUAUUUUGAACCGCAUGGUUCAAAAGUGAAAGACGGUCUUGCUGUCACUUAUAGAUGGAUCCGCGCUGCAUUAGCUAGUUGGUAAGGUAACGGCUUACCAAGGCAACGAUGCAUAGCCGACCUGAGAGGGUGAUCGGCCACACUGGAACUGAGACACGGUCCAGACUCCUACGGGAGGCAGCAGUAGGGAAUCUUCCGCAAUGGGCGAAAGCCUGGCGGAGCAACGCCGCGUGAGUGAUGAAGGUCUUCGGAUCGUAAAACUCUGUUAUUAGGGAAGAACAUAUGUGUAAGUAACUGUGCACAUCUUGACGGUACCUAAUCAGAAAGCCACGGCUAACUACGUG